This 97-nucleotide non-coding RNA is filed under the name Brachyspira hyodysenteriae. RNAcentral's name for it is "Guanine sequence". It matches the Rfam family "Purine riboswitch aptamer". From Rfam's summary of the family: Riboswitches are metabolite binding domains within certain messenger RNAs that serve as precision sensors for their corresponding targets. Allosteric rearrangement of mRNA structure is mediated by ligand binding, and this results in modulation of gene expression. Lineage: Bacteria; Pseudomonadati; Spirochaetota; Spirochaetia; Brachyspirales; Brachyspiraceae. The record is from RNAcentral.
CUAGGCAAUAACUAUACAGCUUAUAUAAGUUCAUAAUAUGGCUGAACGUUUCUACCAAUUACCUCAAUAAUUGACUAUAAGUUUUUGUGCCUUAUUU